Non-coding RNA from Parelaphostrongylus tenuis, 76 nucleotides. Lineage: Eukaryota; Metazoa; Nematoda; Chromadorea; Rhabditida; Metastrongylidae. The record is from the annotation of a GenBank genome assembly.
GCGUCGGUUAGUGCAAGGGCUAGAGUACGGGCCCCUGAUACGGGUUGAAAUGUAGGUUCGAGUCCCACCUGACGCA